AUUUCUAUUUAUGUUGUGUACUUGAGUUCAUUAUUGGGAUUUGAUACAUCAAGUAAAAUUUGACGCUCAAUUUCUUCCCCUAACCUUUCUUUGAUUAAUUGAGCAAUAAAUUUUGCUAUAAAAUGAUAAAUUUUGUUUUGAUAUUUGCAGUGAUCCAAUCUUACAAGGAAAGCAAAUAGGUAGCUAUUUGUACUUGGAUGAUAUUGACAAAAUAGUCAAAUGUGAAGAACUUUUUGGAAGUGCAAUAAAUGCCUACAAGGAAAUCUUAAUGAGAGAAGAGCAACCGAAACCAAAGUUUAGCUGAGUUCGCAAGCAGGAACAAUAUAUAUUUACUACAUCAUGCCACUAUUUGUUCACCACUGAGACAAACAAAUCAAUUGUUGAACACAAUGAUGUUAGAAGCUCUCAAGGAAAGAUAUCUUCUUUUCCCAAUUUUCAACGAAAAGCAUUGGACGUUGUUGGUACUUGAUACUGAAAAUGACUCAUGGCAGUUUUACAAUUCAACGAGACCAACCACAGAAACAGAUAACCAUUUAAAUGAGGCAAACAAAGUGACUUGAUUGUGGUGUCAUAGUUUGUUACCUCAUGAGAGAAUAUGUCUGUAACAAAGACAUCUUCCCUAAUCUAACAAAGGACUAGUGCCAACAAAUCAGAGCAGAUAUCAUAGAUGCUUUGUUGACUGACAAACAGACAGAUACACAACAAAUUAUUGAUGACGCAAUAGAAGCAGUGCUUGAGGACAAAGAUUUUUGGAACAUAAUACACAAUGACAACAAUGAAGUAGAAUAAUUUGAUAGUUGACAAUACUUGAGUAAACACCAACUCCUUUCCAAGUAUAUGGUUGGAAGUAGAAACAAAUAACAGUAUAGUAUUUCAUGGUUUUUGGGAUACAUUUAUCACUGUUGGAACAAAAUGGAAUUAUAAUGAUAUGAUAGUUGACAAUUCUUUCGUGAAUUAUGAACUCCUUUUUCAAG
Non-coding RNA from Camellia sinensis, 974 nucleotides. The record is from RefSeq and is a predicted model, not a curated record. NCBI's taxonomy places the organism in Eukaryota, Viridiplantae, Streptophyta, Magnoliopsida, Ericales, Theaceae.